GAUGAACGCUGGCGGCGUGCUUAACACAUGCAAGUCGAACGGAAAGGCGCUGAUCUUGUGGCGCGCUCGUGAGGCGCGCGGGUGAGAAACACGUGAGUAAACUGCCCCUGACUUUGGGAUAACUCUAGGAAACUGGGGCUAAAAUAGCAGAGGAGCUCUUGCUGCAUGGGGGGGGUUGGAGAGUUACGGCGGUUGUGGCUGGGUUAGAGGCUUAUCAGCUGGUUGGUGGGGUAGUGGGUUACCAAGGCUUCGACGGGUAGCCGGCCUGAGAGGGUGACCGGCGGCAUAGGGACUGAGGGACGGCAGAGACUCCUACGGUAGGGAGCAGUGGGGAAGAUUGCACGAUGAGCGGAGGCCGGAUGAAGCAGCUCUGCGUGCGGGAUGACUGUCUUCGUGGGGUAGACCGCUUGCGCCUGUGACGAAGCGUGAGUGACGGUAACGGAUAAAGAAGCACCGGCUAACUACGUG
This 468-nucleotide ribosomal RNA is filed under the name uncultured bacterium. RNAcentral's name for it is "partial 16S ribosomal RNA". It matches the Rfam family "Bacterial small subunit ribosomal RNA", at positions 28 to 507 of the family's 1533-position model. The record is from RNAcentral.